Molecule: long non-coding RNA, 312 nt
Filed under: Micromonas pusilla
Lineage: Eukaryota; Viridiplantae; Chlorophyta; Mamiellophyceae; Mamiellales; Mamiellaceae
Description: long non-coding RNA (MPUS_LNC000018)
Source: RNAcentral
GUGUGAAGACGCGACGCUCUGGAUUACAACGAGACGGCGCGACUAAGCAUUCAACCCCCACUGACGGCCGCGCGACGGUCUAUCCAAACCUCCGCGCGACCGGGCGUCUCCGAGACGAGGCGCGAUCGAUCGAUUCGAUUCGUCGCCGCGCCCCUCCCUAAAGUCGCCUUAAAAUUUUGUCGCCAUCGACGAUCCGCGCCGCUCCCUCACGCCUUAUCCUUGGACGCGACGGAAGACGCCCUGCGCUUCGCGAGAGACUCCGAGCGACGCUCGCGCGCCUCCUUCAGCCUGAGCGCGAGCACCUUGUGGUAC